GAUGAACGCUAGCGGUAUGCUUAACACAUGCAAGUCGUACGGGAGUUUUUAACUCAAGUGGCGGACGGGUGAGUAACACGUGAGAAUUUACCUUUAGGAGGGGGAUAACAAUUGGAAACGAUUGCUAAUACCCCAUAUGCUUUUUUAAGUGAAACGGAUUUAUUCGCCUAAAGAAAAGCUCGCGGCUGAUUAGCUAGUUGGUAAGGUAAUGGCUUACCAAGGCGACGAUCAGUAUCUGGUUUGAGAGGAUGAUCAGACACACUGGAACUGAGACACGGUCCAGACUCCUACGGGAGGCAGCAGUGGGGAAUUUUCCGCAAUGGGCGAAAGCCUGACGGGGCAAUACCGCGUGAGGGAAGAAAGCCUACUGGGUUGUAAACCUCUUUUUUCAGGGAGGAAAAAAAUGACGUGUACCUGAAGAAUAAGCAUCGGCUAACUCCGUG
Molecule: ribosomal RNA, 443 nt
Filed under: uncultured bacterium
Lineage: Bacteria
Description: partial 16S ribosomal RNA
Rfam family: Bacterial small subunit ribosomal RNA
Source: RNAcentral